RNAcentral lists this small RNA (27 nucleotides) under Bombyx mori (domestic silkworm). RNAcentral's name for it is "ovarian small RNA-21476". The record is from RNAcentral. Lineage: Eukaryota; Metazoa; Arthropoda; Insecta; Lepidoptera; Bombycidae.
UACUGAUGGUUGAGCGAACUUGCGUUC